UUCAACGCUGUCCCCUGGAAAGGGAAGAACUUUGCCUCCCUUAUGAGCAACUAAGUUUGUGGCCCAUGGUUGCAGGCCUUCACAAUGGCCUGAGGCUUUGGGGAGGACAUACUUGGACUCUGCCUCUUGCUGUCAUCCUACCCCUUACACCUGCCACCAAGCUGGGGCAUAGGUUGAAUCUGGACUUUACACCCCAAGCACUCAGAUGGCUGGCGCACUAGCCCAUACACUGGAUUGCCCUACUGAUUAUAGCAUGCCAUCCUGCAUCUACAUUCUUACACCUGGC
Molecule: non-coding RNA, 286 nt
Organism: Pelobates cultripes (western spadefoot toad)
Lineage: Eukaryota; Metazoa; Chordata; Amphibia; Anura; Pelobatidae
Source: the annotation of a GenBank genome assembly